UGGUGGAGCGAUUUGUCUGGUUUAUUCCGAUAACGAGCGAGACGCACCCCUACUUAAUACACCGCGAAUAAUUUCGUUCGCAGGUGUUCUUAGAGGAAUUGGCGGUAUCGAGCCGCACGAAAGUGCGCAAUAACA
RNAcentral lists this ribosomal RNA (135 nucleotides) under uncultured eukaryote. RNAcentral describes it as "partial 18S ribosomal RNA". It matches the Rfam family "Eukaryotic small subunit ribosomal RNA", at positions 1299 to 1458 of the family's 1831-position model. The record is from RNAcentral.